Molecule: ribosomal RNA, 481 nt
Filed under: Salmonella enterica
Lineage: Bacteria; Pseudomonadati; Pseudomonadota; Gammaproteobacteria; Enterobacterales; Enterobacteriaceae
Also listed under: 1 other name
Description: partial 23S ribosomal RNA
Rfam family: Bacterial large subunit ribosomal RNA
Source: RNAcentral
CCGAACCGACUAAUGUUGAAAAAUUAGCGGAUGACCUGUGGCUGGGGGUGAAAGGCCAAUCAAACCGGGAGAUAGCUGGUUCUCCCCGAAAGCUAUUUAGGUAGCGCCUCGUGAAUUCAUCUCCGGGGGUAGAGCACUGUUUCGGCUAGGGGGCCAUCCCGGCUUACCAACCCGAUGCAAACUGCGAAUACCGGAGAAUGUUAUCACGGGAGACACACGGCGGGUGCUAACGUCCGUCGUGAAGAGGGAAACAACCCAGACCGCCAGCUAAGGUCCCAAAGUCAUGGUUAAGUGGGAAACGAUGUGGGAAGGCCCAGACAGCCAGGAUGUUGGCUUAGAAGCAGCCAUCAUUUAAAGAAAGCGUAAUAGCUCACUGGUCGAGUCGGCCUGCGCGGAAGAUGUAACGGGGCUAAACCAUGCACCGAAGCUGCGGCAGCGACACUGUGUGUUGUUGGGUAGGGGAGCGUUCUGUAAGCCUGUG